AGUGAACGCUGGCGGUAGGCCUAACACAUGCAAGUCGAACGGCAGCACAGUAAGAGCUUGCUCUUACGGGUGGCGAGUGGCGGACGGGUGAGGAAUACAUCGGAAUCUACUUUUUCGUGGGGGAUAACGUAGGGAAACUUACGCUAAUACCGCAUACGACCUACGGGUGAAAGCAGGGGAUCUUCGGACCUUGCGCGAUUGAAUGAGCCGCUGUCGGAUUAGCUAGUUGGCGGGGUAAAGGCCCACCAAGGCGACGAUCCGCAGCUGGUCUGAGAGGAUGAUCGGCGGCCCGGGAACUGAAACAGGGUCCAGGCGCCUGCGAGAGGCAGCAGUGGGGAAUAUGGGACAAUGGUCGCAAGCCUGAUCCAGCCAUAGCGCGUGGGUGAAGAAGGCCUUCGGAUUGUAAAGCCCGUUUGUGGGGAAAGAAACGCAGCAGGUUAAUACCCCGCUGUUCUGACGGUACCCAAAGAAUAAGCACCGGCUAACUUCGUG
This 492-nucleotide ribosomal RNA is filed under the name uncultured bacterium. RNAcentral's name for it is "partial 16S ribosomal RNA". It matches the Rfam family "Bacterial small subunit ribosomal RNA", at positions 29 to 507 of the family's 1533-position model. The record is from RNAcentral.